GGGGGUGUAGCUCAGUGGUAGAGCACAUGCUUUGCAUGUGUGAGGCCUCAGGUUCGAUCCCCGGCACCUCCA
Molecule: non-coding RNA, 72 nt
Organism: Pongo abelii (Sumatran orangutan)
Lineage: Eukaryota; Metazoa; Chordata; Mammalia; Primates; Hominidae
Source: Rfam